Macaca mulatta (Rhesus monkey) is the source of this 994-nucleotide non-coding RNA. The record is from RefSeq and is a predicted model, not a curated record. NCBI's taxonomy places the organism in Eukaryota, Metazoa, Chordata, Mammalia, Primates, Cercopithecidae.
AUAAUUCCCCUCCACCUGAAUGUGGGCUGGAGUUAGUGACUCGUUUGUGGUAAAUAGGAUGUAGAAGUGAUUGUGUGUGAUGUCAGAGACUAGGUCAUGAAAGUGAUGGUGUCUUUCGGCUUGCUCUUACUCUUGGAUGAUCUGCUCUGGGGAUAGUUGUGAGUAGGCCUGCAGCCCACAGCCAUGUGAGUGAGCCUUUUGAAGAGUGGACCUUCCAGGCCCAGUCAAGCCUUCAGAUAGUGGGACUCUGUGCUCAUGCCAGUAAGUAAAGAAGAAGGAAUAAGAAAGACACUGUGUGAUCUAGUAUUAAUAAGGAACUGGGCUUUUCUCCUCUUCUCUGCUGGAUUCUGCUGUUUCCCUCAAGGUGUUCAGAGAGUCUGCCCUGAAUCCUACAACAAGGAGAUGAGAAACACACAGUGACACCAGCAGGAGAACAUGAAGAUGUGGUGACAGUUAUCCUCCUCCUGCAGAGUCCAGAGCAGUGCACUCCUACCGCUGGUGCCCUAGCUAAGCCUGGGGGCCAGCAUGCCCGAUGAUAGUCUGGGAGUGCUGCAGAGUCCCCACAAUGGGCACCCAGCCUGUGCCCUUGCAUUCUGCAUGAUCGUGGCCAUUGUCACCUCAGAGCCCCUGUGUACAGAUCAGUGCAUCCUAGCAGAGCUGCAUGUGAGGAAAGACCACGUGAGUCCCGGGAAAGAGCUGAGGCCCUGCAGGGGAAGGUGGCCAGGACCGAGACCUGAUGCCUGUCUGGAGAAUCGUCUGUGGGUCCAAGAUGAAGGAUGAGAAGUGGUUGCUACGAAGGACCCUCCUGCAGUGAACCCACUGUGAGGAGGCUGCGCUGACCCAGCCUGUCAUUUCCUUCUCUAAGCUCAUUCCAGAGGUCGGCCAGGGGCAGAGGCAGCCCGUACCUGCCUGCUCUUGUGGCCCGUGAAUCAAGAAUGGAUUUUACAUUUCCAAAUGCCUGAACAAAUAAAAAAAUAACAAUUCAUGACACUGA